This is a long non-coding RNA of Numida meleagris (helmeted guineafowl), 512 nucleotides long. RefSeq lists it as uncharacterized. NCBI's taxonomy places the organism in Eukaryota, Metazoa, Chordata, Aves, Galliformes, Numididae. The record is from RefSeq and is a predicted model, not a curated record. The transcript is spliced from 3 exons.
ACUGCUGUCUGCAACCCACUGACAGUGCUGAGCAGCAGCAGCACCACUACCAGCAGUAUGAAACAAAAAACAACUUCCUCGGUUUUCUAUUAUAAUUUAUAACUCAGUGCUCUGACUUCACCUCCUUCACACUGACAAGGAAAACUAUUCAUAGCUAACCACCACGUUUUUGGGGGGAGUGAGUGGAAGAGUUCCUUCACGAUUAUGCCUUUGAGAAUAUCCAAACAGCAUUUUCUCAAUGGUUCUGAAGAGCGCAGAGGCAGGAUAAUCCUGUACCUUCUCCUUGGACUUCACAACAUAUGUGAGCCACAACAUGAUUCAUAAUACUGAAGUCUGAUGAGCUUGUGUACUUGUUAUGUUAUGAUGUAUCACAAUAAUUCUCAGGAUAUUACUUUUCUGGAAACAGCAACAUUUAGCUGCACUGCUUGAGCAAUAUGUAAUUCACAACUACAGGCCCUGCAUAUGUACUUCAGCACUUGACCACUCUCUGUCUCCAUGAUGUAUGUGCCUUC